Molecule: ribosomal RNA, 1894 nt
Filed under: Supella longipalpa (brown-banded cockroach)
Lineage: Eukaryota; Metazoa; Arthropoda; Insecta; Blattodea; Ectobiidae
Description: SSU rRNA
Rfam family: Eukaryotic small subunit ribosomal RNA
Source: RNAcentral
UGCAUGUCUCAGUGCAAGCCGCAUUAAGGUGAAACCGCGAAUGGCUCAUUAAAUCAGUUAUGGUUCCUUAGAUGGUGGACAGUUACUUGGAUAACUGUGGUAAUUCUAGAGCUAAUACAUGCAACCAGGUCCCGACCGGAAGCGGAAGGGACGCACUUAUUAGAUGAAAACCAAUCGGGCGUUCGCGUCCGUAUUGCUUGGUGACUCUGAAUAAGCCGUGGCGGAUCGCACGGUCUCCGAACCGGCGACGCAUCUUUCAAAUGUCUGCCUUAUCAACUGUCGAUGGUAGGUUCUGCGCCUACCAUGGUUAUAACGGGUAACGGGGAAUCAGGGUUCGAUUCCGGAGAGGGAGCCUGAGAAACGGCUACCACAUCCAAGGAAGGCAGCAGGCGCGCAAAUUACCCACUCCCGGCACGGGGAGGUAGUGACGAAAAAUAACGAUACGGGACUCAUCCGAGGCCCCGUAAUCGGAAUGAGAACACUUUAAACUCUUUAACGAGUACCUAUUGGAGGGCAAGUCUGGUGCCAGCCGCCGCGGUAACUCCAGCUCCAAUAGCGUAUAUUAAAGUUGUUGCGGUUAAAAAGCUCGUAGUCGGACUUGUGUCACACGCUGCCGGUUCACCGCCCGUCGGUGUCUAACUGGCAUGCACGUGCUGACGUCCUGCCGGUGGCCUUACCCCGCUCGGCAAGCCUGCGGCGGUUCUCGCGCGCGGGGUUGCGAAACCUCCCGAGAGGGGGGUCGCUCCUCGCCGUCCCCGCAGGCCCCGGGAUCCGGGGGAGGGCCUGGUAUAACCCGUCGCGGGUGCUCUUUACCGAGUGUCUCGGCGGGCCGGCACGUUUACUUUGAACAAAUUAGAGUGCUUAAAGCAGGCAGAAUCCGCCUGAAUAUCGAGUGCAUGGAAUAAUGGAAUAGGACCUCGGUUCUAUUUUGUUGGUUUUAGGAAUGCCCGAGGUAAUGAUCAAUAGGGACGGCCGGGGGCAUUCGUAUUGCGACGUUAGAGGUGAAAUUCUUGGAUCGUCGCAAGACGGACCGGAGCGAAAGCGUUUGCCAAGAACGUUUUCCUUGAUCAAGAACGAAAGUUAGAGGUUCGAAGGCGAUCAGAUACCGCCCUAGUUCUAACCAUAAACGAUGCCAGCUGGCAAUCCGCCGAUGUUCCUCCGAUGACUCGGCGGGCGGCCUGCGGGAAACCAAAGCUUUUGGGUUCCGGGGGAAGUAUGGUUGCAAAGCUGAAACUUAAAGGAAUUGACGGAAGGGCACCACCAGCAGUGGAGCCUGCGGCUUAAUUUGACUCAACACGGGAAACCUCACCAGGCCCGGACACCGGGAGGAUUGACAGAUUGAUAGCUCUUUCUCGAUUCGGUGGGUGGUGGUGCAUGGCCGUUCUUAGUUGGUGGGGUGACUUGUCUGGUUAAUUCCGAUAACGAACGAGACUCUAGCCUGCUAACUAGUCGCUCCGGUAUCCUCAGAGCUACCGGCGACCAAAUAUCUUCUUAGAGGGACUGGCGGCUUCUAGCCGCACGAGAUUGAGCAAUAACAGGUCUGUGAUGCCCUUAGAUGUUCUGGGCAGCACGCGCGCUACACUGAAGGAACCAGCGUGUUUUUCCCUAUGCCGAAAGGCACGGGUAACCCGCUGAACCUCCUUCGUGCUAGGGAUUGGGGCUUGCAAUUGUUCCCCAUGAACGAGGAAUUCCCAGUAAGCGCGAGUCAUAAGCUCGCGUUGAUUACGUCCCUGCCCUUUGUACACACCGCCCGUCGCUACUACCGAUUGAAUGAUUUAGUGAGGUCUUCGGACCGGUGGGCGAGGGGUCUUCCCCUUCGAUUCCGCCGGGAAGAUGCCCAAACUUGAUUAUUUAGAGGAAGUAAAAGUCGUAACAAGGUUUCCGUAGGUGAACC